RNAcentral lists this ribosomal RNA (2877 nucleotides) under Cupriavidus sp. BIS7. RNAcentral describes it as "bacterial LSU rRNA". It matches the Rfam family "Bacterial large subunit ribosomal RNA". The record is from RNAcentral. Lineage: Bacteria; Pseudomonadati; Pseudomonadota; Betaproteobacteria; Burkholderiales; Burkholderiaceae.
UCAAGCGAACAAGUGCAUGUGGUGGAUGCCUUGGCGAUUACAGGCGAUGAAGGACGCGGUAGCCUGCGAAAAGCUUCGGGGAGCUGGCAAACGAGCUUUGAUCCGGAGAUGUCCGAAUGGGGAAACCCGGCCCGAAUGGGUCAUCCCUGACUGAAUACAUAGGUCAGGGAAGCGAACGCGGCGAACUGAAACAUCUAAGUAGCUGCAGGAACAGAAAUCAACCGAGAUUCCCAAAGUAGUGGCGAACGAAAUGGGAAGAGCCUUGUACUCUUUAGCAGAAUUGUUAGCAGAACGGGAUGGAAAGCCCGGCCAUAGCAGGUGAUAGCCCUGUAUGCGAAAACAGUUUUGUGGAACUAGGUGUACGACAAGUAGGGCGGGACACGUGAAAUCCUGUCUGAAGAUGGGGGGACCAUCCUCCAAGGCUAAAUACUCGUAAUCGACCGAUAGUGAACCAGUACCGUGAGGGAAAGGCGAAAAGAACCCCGGGAGGGGAGUGAAAUAGAUCCUGAAACCGCAUGCAUACAAACAGUCGGAGCCUGGCAACGGGUGACGGCGUACCUUUUGUAUAAUGGGUCAGCGACUUACAUUCAGUGGCAAGCUUAACCGAUUAGGGAAGGCGUAGCGAAAGCGAGUCCGAAUAGGGCGUUGAGUCGCUGGGUGUAGACCCGAAACCAGAUGAUCUAUCCAUGGCCAGGUUGAAGGUGCGGUAACACGUACUGGAGGACCGAACCCACUAACGUUGAAAAGUUAGGGGAUGAGCUGUGGAUAGGGGUGAAAGGCUAAACAAAUCUGGAAAUAGCUGGUUCUCUCCGAAAACUAUUUAGGUAGUGCCUCGUGUCUCACCUUCGGGGGUAGAGCACUGUCAUGGUUGGGGGGUCUAUUGCUGAUUACCCCGCCAUAGCAAACUCCGAAUACCGAAGAGUGCAAUCACGGGAGACAGACAUCGGGUGCUAACGUCCGGUGUCAAGAGGGAAACAACCCAGACCGCCAGCUAAGGUCCCCAAAUAUAGCUAAGUGGGAAACGAAGUGGGAAGGCUAAAACAGUCAGGAGGUUGGCUUAGAAGCAGCCACCCUUUAAAGAAAGCGUAAUAGCUCACUGAUCGAGUCGUCCUGCGCGGAAGAUGUAACGGGGCUAAGCUAUAUACCGAAGCUGCGGACGCACGCAAGUGCGUGGUAGGAGAGCGUUCUGUAAGCCUGUGAAGGUGUCUUGUAAAGGAUGCUGGAGGUAUCAGAAGUGCGAAUGCUGACAUGAGUAGCGAUAAAGGGGGUGAAAGGCCCCCUCGCCGUAAGCCCAAGGUUUCCUACGCAACGUUCAUCGGCGUAGGGUGAGUCGGCCCCUAAGGCGAGGCAGAGAUGCGUAGCUGAUGGGAAGCAGGUUAAUAUUCCUGCACCGUCGUAUGAUGCGAUGGGGGGACGGAUCGCGGAAGGUUGUCCGGGUGUUGGAAGUCCCGGUCCCUGCAUUGGAGAAGGCGCUUAGGCAAAUCCGGGCGCGGAAUUCAAGAGUGUGGGGCGAGCGGCCUAGUGCUGCGAAGCAAUUGGAAGUGGUUCCAAGAAAAGCCUCUAAGCUUCAGUCAUACGAGACCGUACCGCAAACCGACACAGGUGGGCGAGAUGAGUAUUCUAAGGCGCUUGAGAGAACUCGGGAGAAGGAACUCGGCAAAUUGGUACCGUAACUUCGGGAUAAGGUACGCCCUGGUAGCUUGACUGGCCUGCGCCAGAAGGGUGAAGGGGUUGCAAUAAAAUGGUGGCUGCGACUGUUUAAUAAAAACACAGCACUCUGCAAACACGAAAGUGGACGUAUAGGGUGUGACGCCUGCCCGGUGCCGGAAGAUUAAAUGAUGGGGUGCAAGCUCUUGAUUGAAGUCCCGGUAAACGGCGGCCGUAACUAUAACGGUCCUAAGGUAGCGAAAUUCCUUGUCGGGUAAGUUCCGACCUGCACGAAUGGCGUAACGAUGGCCACACUGUCUCCUCCCGAGACUCAGCGAAGUUGAAGUGUUUGUGAUGAUGCAAUCUCCCCGCGGCUAGACGGAAAGACCCCAUGAACCUUUACUGUAGCUUUGCAUUGGACUUUGAACCGAUCUGUGUAGGAUAGGUGGGAGGCUUUGAAGCGUGGACGCUAGUUCACGUGGAGCCGUCCUUGAAAUACCACCCUGGUUUGUUUGAGGUUCUAACCUUGGCCCGUGAAUCCGGGUCGGGGACAGUGCAUGGUAGGCAGUUUGACUGGGGCGGUCUCCUCCCAAAGUGUAACGGAGGAGUUCGAAGGUACGCUUGGUACGGUCGGACAUCGUACCUAAAGUGCAAUGGCAAAAGCGUGCUUAACUGCGAGACCGACAAGUCGAGCAGGUGCGAAAGCAGGACAUAGUGAUCCGGUGGUUCUGAAUGGAAGGGCCAUCGCUCAACGGAUAAAAGGUACUCUGGGGAUAACAGGCUGAUACCGCCCAAGAGUUCAUAUCGACGGCGGUGUUUGGCACCUCGAUGUCGGCUCAUCUCAUCCUGGGGCUGUAGCCGGUCCCAAGGGUAUGGCUGUUCGCCAUUUAAAGAGGUACGUGAGCUGGGUUUAAAACGUCGUGAGACAGUUUGGUCCCUAUCUGCCGUGGGCGUUGGAAUCUUGACGGGGGCUGCUCCUAGUACGAGAGGACCGGAGUGGACGUACCGCUGGUGUACCUGUUGUCUCGCCAGAGGCAUCGCAGGGUAGCUAUGUACGGAAGAGAUAACCGCUGAAAGCAUCUAAGCGGGAAACUCGCCUGAAGAUGAGGAUUCCCUGGAGGCUUGACCUCCUUGAAGGGUCGUUCGAGACCAGGACGUUGAUAGGCUGGGUGUGGAAGCGCAGUAAUGCGUUAAGCUAACCAGUACUAAUUGCCCGUAAGGCUUGAUCCU